Molecule: ribosomal RNA, 450 nt
Filed under: uncultured bacterium
Lineage: Bacteria
Description: partial 16S ribosomal RNA
Rfam family: Bacterial small subunit ribosomal RNA
Source: RNAcentral
GUAGGGAAUCUUCCACAAUGGACGAAAGUCUGAUGGAGCAACGCCGCGUGAGUGAAGAAGGUCUUCGGAUCGUAAAACUCUGUUGUUAGAGAAGAACGUGCAUGAUAGUAACUGAUCAUGUAAUGACGGUAUCUAACCAGAAAGCCACGGCUAACUACGUGCCAGCAGCCGCGGUAAUACGUAGGUGGCAAGCGUUGUCCGGAUUUAUGGGGCGUAAAGGGAACGCAGGCGGUUUUUUAAGGCUGAUGUGAAAGCCUUCGGCUUAACCGAAGAAUAGCAUUGGAAUCUGGAAGAAUUGAGUGCAGAAGAGGAGAGUGGAAUUCCAUGUGUAGCGGUGAAAUGCGUAGAUAUAUGGAGGAACACCAGUGGCGAAAGCGGCUCUCUGGUCUGUAACUGACGCUGAGGUUCGAAAGCGUGGGUAGCAAACAGAAUUAGAAACCCGUGUAGUCC